UACGGAGGGUGCGAGCGUUGUCCGGAAUCACUGGGCGUAAAGGGCGCGUAGGCGGCGAGGAUAGUCAACGGUGAAAGCUUGGGGCUCAACCCCGAGUCGGCCGUGCGAACUGUUUUGCUGGAGCACUGUAGAGGCAGGCGGAAUUCCGGGUGUAGCGGUGGAAUGCGUAGAGAUCCGGAAGAACACCGGUGGCGAAGGCGGCCUGCUGGGCAGUUGCUGACAUUGAGGCGCGACAGCGUGGGGAGCAAACAGG
This 253-nucleotide ribosomal RNA is filed under the name uncultured bacterium. RNAcentral describes it as "partial 16S ribosomal RNA". It matches the Rfam family "Bacterial small subunit ribosomal RNA", at positions 524 to 776 of the family's 1533-position model. The record is from RNAcentral.